AGUGAACGCUGGCGGCGUGCUUAACACCUGCAAGUCGCACGAGAACGGAUUAUAGCUUGCUAUAAUUGUCAGCUAAGUGGCGCACGGGUGAGUAAAGUAUAGGUAAGAUGCCUCUUACUAAGUGAUAACAAAUGGAAACGUUUGCUAAUUCCUUAUACUCCUUAUUAACAGAAGUUAAUAAGGGAAAGAUUUAUUGGUAAGAGAUUAGCCUGUAUUGUAUCAGUAAGUUGGUGGGGUAAUGGCUUACCAAGACUAUGACACAUAACUGGUUUGAGAGGAUGAUCAGUCAAAAUGGAACUGAGACACGGUCCAUUCUCCUACGGGAGGCAGCAGUGGGGAAUAUUGCACAAUGGACGAGAGUCUGAUGCAGCAACGCCGCGUGGAGGAUGACACAUUUCGGUGCGUAAACUCCUUUUAUAUGAGAGGAUAAUGACGGUAUUAUAUGAAUAAGCACCGGCUAACUCCGUGCCAGCCGCCGCCGUAA
This 484-nucleotide ribosomal RNA is filed under the name uncultured bacterium. Its description in RNAcentral is "partial 16S ribosomal RNA". It matches the Rfam family "Bacterial small subunit ribosomal RNA", at positions 29 to 523 of the family's 1533-position model. The record is from RNAcentral.